Homo sapiens (human) is the source of this 1405-nucleotide long non-coding RNA. Ensembl annotates it as endogenous retrovirus group K13 member 1. Its record names the gene ERVK13-1. Lineage: Eukaryota; Metazoa; Chordata; Mammalia; Primates; Hominidae. The record is from Ensembl.
GAGUAGCUGGGAUUACAGGCGUGUGCCACCAUGCCCGGCUAAUUUUUGUGUUUUUAGUAGAGACCGGGGAAGGUAUGGGCCCUCUUUUGAGAAAAAUGCAGAGUGACACUGAAUUUUGUAACUACAUCAGGAGGCUCUUGAACCUUCUGCAGCUCACUCGUGGAGUUUGUAGAGAUGCGUAAUAAUCCGAAGUGUUAAGGAAGAAGGUUCUGUUGAGAAAAAGUUGGAGGGCUGAAAGGGAUGCCUUUCGCUAUUUCGACAUGUGUGGCUGUACCCCAGAGUGCCCUGGCUAACACGCAAAACCAUGAAUUAGGCGGCUUGGCGAGGCUCAGUGGAGGCUGGGGCCGAGAGUCAUGUCAAAGUUUGUGGGGUUAACCUGCACCCAGUGACAGUCAUGGCGAAGUUUGUGAGGUUAACUCGCACCCAGUAACGCUGUUCCAAUGCAAGGUGUGUAUUUGGUGUCAUCCACGGGAAGAGGAAACAGCAAAUUUUCUCAUGGCCUUGGCAGUUCCACAUGAUGGACAUUUCAUAUCUGCAGUUUUCUUCGCAUGAGAUGGCUUUUUUGCACAAAAACACUGGAAUCCAGUGAGCAAGAAUGAUAGAAUGCAAGAUGGAUUUCCACAUGAGGAAGUGUCACGAACAAGCGUUUUGCAUCUCUGUCAGCUGGAUUCCCCCAUGUGUACGUAUGUGAGAACAUGCCGUGUUUCCUGUCUGUAAUGGUAGAGGCAGCCCUGAUACUGGAUUUUCACCUGAGGAUGGAUAGAUCUUCAGGGUUCAAGUGGGUUUGCAUCUGGACUUUAGGGUGGCCCUGUAGGCCCUGUGUGAGAAGCCCCCUUCCCAGUGAACUUUCCCUUGUGUGCCCGCGUGGACAGCCAACAGGGGGAGCAGUGCGAGCGUGAAGGCAGACAGUGGCCUGGCCCAGUCUGAUGGUGCAGAAGCUGAGCUGCAGAGGCGUUAGGUACCUGCCUCAUAAGUGGUAGAGACUCCAGUGUCACCCUGCCCCUCACGUUCGGAGCCCCCGAGGGAGGGUCUGCCGGGCAGCUCAGCCCAGCACUCUAUGGCUGAACUCUGUGACCCCGGGGCCUGUUUCAGCCUCCUGCUGUCAGAAAGCAGCUGUUUGGGAAGAGGCUGUGAUUCGGCCUUGUUUGAGGGCCGAUACUCUGAAUGGGGAGAGACCCACCGACCCUGUGGGGCUGGUCCCUACAUCUGGCGCUCUGACGUGGGGCUCUCCCUCGCUGUGUGAAGUUGCACCCUGAGUGCGGGAUCAGCGGAGGAGUUCAACGAGAGAUUCCUGAGGAUUGCAGUCUAUAAACUUGGUGGAAAAGAACUACAGCCUGUGUGGGUCCCCUCCCGACAAUUAAAAUUGCACCAUAACUCCAAAGAUGAAACGCUCCCAGAAAGAAAA